RNAcentral lists this ribosomal RNA (433 nucleotides) under uncultured bacterium. RNAcentral's name for it is "partial 16S ribosomal RNA". It matches the Rfam family "Bacterial small subunit ribosomal RNA", at positions 29 to 507 of the family's 1533-position model. The record is from RNAcentral.
AACGAAUGCUGGCGGCAUGCCUAACACAUGCAAGUCGAACGAGACCUUCGGGUCUAGUGGCGCACGGGUGCGUAACGCGUGGGAACCUGCCUUUAGGUUCGGAAUAACUCAGAGAAAUUUGAGCUAAUACCGGAUGAUGUCUUCGGACCAAAGAUUUAUCGCCUUUAGAUGGGCCCGCGUUGGAUUAGCUAGUUGGUGGGGUAAAGGCCUACCAAGGCGACGAUCCAUAGCUGGUCUGAGAGGAUGAUCAGCCACACUGGGACUGAGACACGGCCCAGACUCCUACGGGAGGCAGCAGUGGGGAAUAUUGGACAAUGGGCGAAAGCCUGAUCCAGCAAUGCCGCGUGAGUGAUGAAGGCCUUAGGGUUGUAAAGCUCUUUUACCCGAGAUGAUAAUGACAGUAUCGGGAGAAUAAGCUCCGGCUAACUCCGUG